UCUCGAACUCCGAACGGGCAAGGAGCCGGGGUCGCCCGAUCGGACCCCGGACGUGAAGUCGACGAUGGUCGGUGGGCUGGUUUUGGUAAGCAGAACGGGCGAUUCGGGAUGAACCGGAAGCGGGGAGAAAGGGCCCGAGAUUGCGUCGACGCGGAUCCCGAAAAGGGCGUCGAUCCGUCGCGACAGCGGGACGGUGGUCAUGGAAGUCGAAAUCCGCUAAGAAGCGUGUAAAAACGUACCCGCCCAACGGAUCGGCCCCGAAAAUUGAUGGCGCUCGAACGCAACCCUCGAACCCCGCCGACGGAGGCUAGGGGAGGCCCCGUCGAGUAGGCGGACGCGCGGGUCGCUUCGACGCUCCCGCGCGAGCGGGGGCGGAGCGGCCCGUGGUGCAGAUCUUGGUGGUAGUAGCGAUCACCCAGGCGAGAACCCUGAGGGCCGAAGUGGAGAAGGGUUUCUCGAGAACGGCACUCGCUCGAGAGUUAGUCGAUCCUAAGCUGCCGGCGGCAGCCACGAAACGGUCGAUCGGGCGCGAGCCGGCAGCCACGACCGGGCAGCGAAA
Molecule: ribosomal RNA, 559 nt
Filed under: uncultured eukaryote
Lineage: Eukaryota
Description: eukaryotic LSU rRNA
Rfam family: Eukaryotic large subunit ribosomal RNA
Source: RNAcentral